GGAGGCGAUACACUCUGGAAUCAGAGAGAUGAGAAGACUUUUAGUUCUGAAAUGACUGACUGCAAUCUCUUGUAAUGCCACUAGAGGGAGCCAGAAUUUUCCUUGUCACUCCAAACUCUAUCACAUUCUUUACAAUUUAAGCACCUGCGAUACAUCUGCUCAGCCUGGAGAUGGCGUCCGUCUUUGAGCAGCUGAACAUCGUUGAAGAGGAGGCGAAUCAUUCCUUCUGCUUUCUCCAGAUCAGAAGAUCGGACCCGAGGCCUGGUUCUCACCGACUGCAGCAGGGUCUCCACCUGGUUCAGCUGUUCCUCACAAACUCCUGACUCCAUCUGGACCUUACUCACGAUCCUCUGGAGUCGCUCCAACCUGCAGCCAGAGAAGGAGGCGCUCUCUCUCCAGGAUGGCCACAUGGAGGCGACCCCAUUCUUUCUCUACGUCAAAGGGAUGGUAACCUGGGGGCACUUUGACAUGACCUGCCUGAACUGCACCCUGUAACAAACACCAAGUAUAACUAUG
Cynoglossus semilaevis (tongue sole) is the source of this 516-nucleotide long non-coding RNA. RefSeq lists it as uncharacterized. The record is from RefSeq and is a predicted model, not a curated record. The transcript has 4 exons. Lineage: Eukaryota; Metazoa; Chordata; Actinopteri; Pleuronectiformes; Cynoglossidae.